UACGUAGGGUGCAAGCGUUAAUCGGAAUUACUGGGCGUAAAGCGUGCGCAGGCGGUUAUGCAAGACAGAUGUGAAAUCCCCGGGCUCAACCUGGGAACUGCAUUUGUGACUGCAUGACUUGAGUACGGUAGAGGGGGAUGGAAUUCCGCGUGUAACAGUGAAAUGCGUAGAUAUGCGGAGGAACACCGAUGGCGAAGGCAAUCCCCUGGACCUGUACUGACGCUCAUGCACGAAAGCGUGGGGAGCAAACAGG
Molecule: ribosomal RNA, 253 nt
Filed under: uncultured bacterium
Lineage: Bacteria
Description: partial 16S ribosomal RNA
Rfam family: Bacterial small subunit ribosomal RNA
Source: RNAcentral